RNAcentral lists this long non-coding RNA (486 nucleotides) under Homo sapiens (human). RNAcentral's name for it is "HSALNT0167336". The record is from RNAcentral. Lineage: Eukaryota; Metazoa; Chordata; Mammalia; Primates; Hominidae.
GACCACCUCUAAAGGCCCAGGGUUCUUGGUCUCCAAUUAAGAAUUGUGCUGAAGAAUGACUACGACACCCUGUUGAGAUCAGAUCCAAGCGGAGAACGUUACGAGAAAGGGGAUUUCCUGGGGUCUCAAAUGUCCAACAAACCUUUUCCUUUGCAAUUGACACUGACAACACUACUAUUUGCUCGAAGCCAUUGAAAUUCCCGUAACAUCUGUGCUCCUUUGGGUCCAUGCUCGUAAGGAAGGUAGAAUAGAUCAGCAAGUAACUGCAAAUCCUCCAGGGUCACUGGUUCCGCAGUGUACAAAGGCUUUUCAUUUGGACCUGGCACAAACUGCUCCUUGUUUGUCUGUUCAUCAGUUUGCAUGGGGGCAAUGUCACUAAUACAAUCUUCUUGCAUGGACAUCUCUGGGGAUUUUGAUUCAGCUAUGCUCUCUUUAUCAGUGUCCAUUGGUUUCAAUUCCUCUGCCAUUUUCGCUUCAACAAUUUCA